Long non-coding RNA from Passer domesticus (house sparrow), 2049 nucleotides. RefSeq lists it as uncharacterized. The record is from RefSeq and is a predicted model, not a curated record. NCBI's taxonomy places the organism in Eukaryota, Metazoa, Chordata, Aves, Passeriformes, Passeridae. The transcript is spliced from 3 exons.
GUAGGGUGAGAAGGAUGGCAGGAUUUCUUUCUUGCUAUGAAGCCCUUAAUAACUGAGGUGCAGUGUGAAACAGGCUGUUGGACUCUGACAAGACCUGGAAAGAUCAAUAGAUCAGCUUUCAGGGAUGGAAGGGUGUGAGUGCACCAGUAUAUUUCUCUGAAGUUUGCCUGUGAAAGAAUGCAAGUGCUUUUGUGGAGACAUCUCUACUUGUCUGCAUCACGGCAGGAACGUCUAUUGUACAGCAACAGGCAUUCUCCCUGCCUGUCAAUCCAAAGCUCUUUAAUUUGCAAGUAAUUUGAGAAACUUUUCUUCUGGUUUUCUUGUAAGAUGAUAUCUCAGUCCAUGAACAAAUCCAGUGCCAUUAAAAUAAUUAACAUAAAGCAGAUUCUUCAUUGAUUUAGGCUCACAAGCAAGUGUGCUGUUUAUUUAAAGUCUGUCUCACCUUCAACAAGUGGACAUUUGAGAGGCUUUGUCAGCAUCAGUACCCACCCCCUACUCUCAGUCAGUAGCCUACAUGUUGAGACACAUCAACAGGAUAGUAAGUACUUCCUCUGCUUUUGUUUAAUCUUUGGUUACCUCUCAGACUACAGUACUGCAGCUGCACUUAUCAGCAAGCACUGGAGUGUUUCAGAUGCAGAGAAGAACAAGAGAAUGUGUAGUUCUGGAAAAAGUUCUGGUGUAAGAACUCAAACCUGCAUCCACUUUAUUACGGGGCUGUGGUGAGAGCUCAUCUUUCUGCAGAAACAGUCCUGAUAGUGGAACUUAGUCACAGAAGGUAAAACCCAAGGAGACAAAAAGCAAGGAAAGAUAAACUGGUAAGACCAGUAGCACUGAACCACAGAAAAGCAUCCUGUUCCUCGAUGCCUCUUCACAUAAAGUCAUACAGGCAGAGGAAGGGAAGCUUCCAACAGCUUGGCAGACCUCUGCCAAGGACAUUUAACAUUCAGCUCAAAGCAAUUCCCCCUGAAUUUUUGCAGUACAGGCACAUUGGCAUUAAGCAUUCCAGAAAGUAAGAACUCGAAACCAAAGAAUGGCAGAGACUAGGAACAAAGCAAGAUGAAUGCCACAUAACAUUUAUCAAGUUUGUCUGUCACAUGUACUUGAUAAUUAUAUAGGGUUAAUAAAUUACCAUCAGACUACAUCUGCUGCUGCUCCCUCAGCUAUUCAUGAUGCCACCAUGUGCUACCAGUACUUGUAUUAUGAUGCACAUGAGUGGAGGCUGCUUUCUAAAAGCAACAUGCCUUUGGCCAUUCCUCCUGGCCCUAUAACCACCUCCUACCACUCUUUCAAGUACAGUUUGAAGUGUGUGGUGUAGCAACUAUACAUUGUACUCAUUGGAGCUAUGGCUCCUGGGCCAGAGGACCAAAAGAGAAGUAAAGCUUAUCCACCUGAAGUAAGAAACUUGCAGCUUACUGUGCUACUUCACCAAAACAUCCCUCAUAAAACAUCCUGUUAGGAUGUUCAACAAUGGCAAUGCUUCAUAACAAAAGUUGUCUCUGUAGGUUACUGUACUGAUAUGCAAUGCACACAACUAUCUUCAACUGCAACACUACCUCUUCAUAUCCACUGCUCUAUCUGAGGCACUCAGAUCUCUUCCUGGAAGGACAAGCAGCACCUUAGAAGUUACCAUCAUACUGCCAUCCUUCCUGGAGCCAGGACAAGAGCUCAAGCAGCCUUCUCUCCCAUCUCUGCUGGUUCAUCUCCAGAGAAACAUUAGCUAGAGCUGCUACAACAAAUGUUAUUCUGGAUAAAGUGACGAGGUCACAGGAAACACCUACUAUUCUCCAAAGGCUGUGUCAAGUCAGUACUGUUCACAACACUUGUCAUGGAGACUAAUACAGGGACAUCAGCAAUAUGACUGCUCUAAGCAGAGCAGUUUACAUGAAACUCUCUCAGUAACAGCUACUUAAGUUUCUUCUAAACUGAAAUAAUGACAGACAGUAAACAGAACUUAUAUAAAUAGAAAAUGGUUUAUUAAAAACAAACAAAACCAAACAAAAAGUCACAACACAAUCUCACUUCAUUGUCUGGCCAAAGGUCAGAUUUGAA